Suricata suricatta (meerkat) is the source of this 1162-nucleotide long non-coding RNA. RefSeq lists it as uncharacterized. Lineage: Eukaryota; Metazoa; Chordata; Mammalia; Carnivora; Herpestidae. The transcript has 4 exons. The record is from RefSeq and is a predicted model, not a curated record.
AAAAAAAAAGACAAACUAAAGAAACUGAACCUAUUAUGAUAAUAACCAUAAUCUACUUUGUAAAGUGGUAAGUCUGACCUGUCAGAGAAAUUCACUAAGAAAUAUUAUAAUUGUACCUUAGAAAUACAAUAAAUAUUAUGCAAAUAUAUUUUGGUUUGGAACAUUCUGUUCUGGGGAAAUGAGAGUGCAUUUUCCUCCAAGACUGUGCUGAUAGGAUACUUUGGUUUCUACCAUUACUAAACUUUGUCUUCCCUAGCAGGAUGAAAUAGAAAAGUCUAUCCAAAUUAAGCUUGUUUCCUUGUUUGUGAUAGGAAAAAACACCACACACACCCUUCCCUUGUAUGUGUGGUAAAGAGCACAACUCAGAUGGGACAACAGAUCAGAACUCUCCACCCAAUCAUCAUAAUGGUGAUGAGGUGUGACCGAUGACAGCGGGCCUGUCCUCUAACAGACUAAGACUCUCUGACUCCCUCUACAUUUGAGCCUAGGUGGAAACGCUGAGGAGUCAGCAACAUCAAAUUUGCUAUCAAGCUCAUCCAUCCCAGAGAUAACAUCCUGCUGGGAGACUGGAAGUUUCUCUGCAAUUACAGCUAAUUACACUGGGAUGAUUUGGCUACGGACUCCUGUCAGAACAUACAUCUACCAUGAUCGAUUGUUUAAAGAAGGUUGUACUUGCAGGUACAUGCUUCAAAUCUAAUGGUUCACAAAGCUAUGUGCACUACCGUUAAUUUCAGAAAACUAUUUUAACAAGAAAAGCAAGCAGCCUAGUUAUACCAAUUGCAACUGCAGUCUCCUGUGAGUCUCCAGUAAUCAUUUUUAUCGACACUCCUGAGGCAAUGAGUGUUGUGACAGCUUCUUUCACACCAGUUCUGGGAGGAUCAAUGAUUCCCACCAGGCCAAGAAAUGUCAGCUGUCCCAGUUCCGGACCAGAAGCUAAAGCAAGAACUUAGGAAAUAAUAAAAUCCAAAAAAGGAAAUGUCUCCAAAACUACUGAAGAACUUAGAAGACUUAUUAAUUAAUUAUACAUAAUAUGUAACAAUUUCACACAUGACAAACCCUGGGAGGUUAAUUUAAUAUGUAAAGUGACUGUAAAACUAUUAAUAACAGUAGUUUGAUUUCUCUCACUCUUUUCAUACCAUUAAAAGGUAUUUUUUAUUUGUAA